This 678-nucleotide long non-coding RNA is filed under the name Homo sapiens (human). RNAcentral describes it as "non-protein coding lnc-BASP1-18:1". Lineage: Eukaryota; Metazoa; Chordata; Mammalia; Primates; Hominidae. The record is from RNAcentral.
AAGAAAGGAAAGGAGGAAAAAAAACCAUAAAUCUUUAUGUAAAACUAGUUGCCCAUAAGUUUUCAGUUACUGAAGUGGAUCACCUAAUCACUAUGAACUUACUUGUUUUCCAGAUAUAAGCAUUCUUUGAUCUUUCUGUGAGUGACUUAUGUACAGAAACAGCAGUUCUGCAAUGAAUUUGAGAACACAUUGCAGAAUGGAGAAAUAGUAUCUUUAUUUUACCUGAUGUUGCUGAAACCAAGCAUCCCUAUAAAUUAUGGACAGACUUAAGGUGAAGUUUGCUCUGACUCAUAAGAUGGAAAAAAAUAUAAUAAAACAGAUAAGGUGUUUUUCACGAAUGACCUCCAGUAUUACGUGGACAUACACUUGCUGGCAUGGCAGGCAUACGUAGCACAACAGGAUACAUAUCAGAGAAGUUAUUUUGGUCAUAACAACCAUUCUUUGUGCUUCUCCUACUUGUGGAAUCGUGCGGAUGAUCUCUUUCAAUUAUUAAUAAAGCCACCUUUAAGGGUUUUAUCAUCACAAAUCACAGUUUCCAGGAGGGUAAAAAUACAGCACUGCUCUAUAAUUCAGCUUAUUGAAGAUUCCUGGUAUUUAACUGAAGAGUCCAAAACAUAUGUGGUGGGAAUGAUGUCAUGCAGAAAGGUGCCCUGUUCAAUUUGGAAUGUAUCAGUAUAG